AUUAUGCUUUUACAAUGUUCUUGCUGAUUAUUAUGUUAGGGUGCCAGAAAGCGGAAAACGAAUCCUUGAUUUAAUUGUCCAACUUUGGAGCCAAUCAUUUGCAUCACAUAUUUUCUCUCUUCUGUUCCAUAAAUGGCUAUUUGAAGCCCAUCUUGAUAGUACUGAAGUACUUAUACGUUACUCAUCUGCUCUUGUUCAAGGUGCUACAAAUGUUUUCUGGAUUGACAUCCAAACGAACACUAGGCAU
RNAcentral lists this unclassified non-coding RNA (247 nucleotides) under Hevea brasiliensis (rubber tree). The record is from RNAcentral. Lineage: Eukaryota; Viridiplantae; Streptophyta; Magnoliopsida; Malpighiales; Euphorbiaceae.